Onthophagus taurus is the source of this 578-nucleotide long non-coding RNA. RefSeq lists it as uncharacterized. The record is from RefSeq and is a predicted model, not a curated record. NCBI's taxonomy places the organism in Eukaryota, Metazoa, Arthropoda, Insecta, Coleoptera, Scarabaeidae.
UUCGAGUUGGAUAACCUUAUAACCAAUACCACCAAUACUCAAUGGACGUUGGAGUAAACGAGUACAAAAAUAAAUAAUUAAUACCAAGUAAAUUAAUUAACCAGUUUUAAUAAUUGAAUUAUACGUAAUGAAAUUGUAAUAACAUAACCAAACAAAAUAAUAACUCGUAUUUAAGAUUACUGAAAUUCUUGGAUAAGGAAAUUUGGACUCUUCAAAAGGAAUCGGUAAUAAUGAUUCUUGAUUGGAAUAAUUCUUCGGAAUGGUAUACUGGAUUAAUUGGAUCAGGAACCACUUAAUUUUCUUGUUUAUUAUUAAAGAUUUCGACGUGCAGCUUCAAAAAUAUAUUCAAAUAUUUAAUCUACGAAUUUUCAUCAAAACUCCCAUAUGAUGGAUGGUUUUUGGUCUUGACAUGCUAAGAUUAUCGUUUUUAAUAGUUUUAACCGGACAAACAUGAAUUAUAAUAAGAAAUUAACAAAAAAUGAAAUUUGAGGUUACGUCACUGUCAAAAUUGUAUAAAAUUACUUCGUAUUGACUUUAUUUGGAUUAAAUACAAUAAAAAAACGUAAAGGUCAAUAAUA